AUCCAUCUGAUGAGUCCCAAAUAGGACGAAACAAUCAUCCUGGAU
RNAcentral lists this non-coding RNA (45 nucleotides) under Schistosoma margrebowiei. The record is from RNAcentral. Lineage: Eukaryota; Metazoa; Platyhelminthes; Trematoda; Strigeidida; Schistosomatidae.